CGUGUCUCUGUGUGCGCGCGCACGUGCGUUUGCAGGACAGACGCCCUAGUCUGGCAGCGGACGUUAGUCAAUGACUGGCGAGCACGGCGCAUGCGCGUAAGACAGAUCGCGCAAAGGCAAUCGAUCGGCGAGACAGUUUUGUCAGCAGCCGCCCAUGGCGUCUCGCACACGCUGGCUGCAUUGAUUUCACCUCCUCACUCACUCGGACUCGCUUUCCACUGCCAGCCUUUUCCCCAACCACCACCAUCACCACCCGGGCACCGUACUCAUCUUCUAGCACUUGCUGAUCCUCUGCCUGUCUCCAUUUCCGCCAGCGUGUGCGCGCGCAUACUUGAAACGCGUUCACUUUUCCCUCCUACACACCACCUUUUUUUUCUUUGCUUCGCUCUAUUCAGUCUAAAGGAAAGAAGAAAGAAAGAGAGAGGGGGGAAAAAUAAAGAAAUCAAGGAUCGGAGAGGGCUGGAUGGAUGGGUAGGAUGGGCGGUGACGCCAUCUCGCGACGUGAACUGCCCGCCUGCCGGCCUCGCAGCUGUUCAAACGGCUGUCACGUGGGCAGGGGGAGGUAAGCAAGCAGCAUGACUCGGCGUCAACGUGAAGAUGACAAGCUUUGCGUUGCGGCGCCUGUCCCCUCCCUCCUUACCUCCCUACCUCCACUCCCCCUUCUCUCUUUUCUGCUCGAUGAAGACCGAUAAGAAGCUCGACGAGUGGUGGUCGUUGGUGCUGGUGGUGGUGGCGGCGGCGGUGUGGUAGUUCCAGCUGCUGCUGUUGACGUUGACAGUGAUGGUGGUGUUGCGGAGACGUCUGCGGAAGGGUGAUGCCCUUGAAACAGUGGGGGGGGGACAAGAUGAUGGCGCCAACUAAAGCAUCUCCCUUGCUGAUCAAGCCGAUACCAGAGGACUAGCAAGUGCUGAGCUCAUUGGUCAGAAUAAAACUCACAGCCUGGAGCCUAGCGUGAUAAACUGUACAGUGAGGUAUCAUGCGCUCUCAGGCGAGGAAAUAAGUAUGACGUCACUUCCGGCGAUCGCGAAGGAACUGGUGGUCGCUGUGGUAGUGUUGUUGGCGGUGGUGAUAUCGUCAGGCGACAGCGACGUGUGCAGCCUCCGACCGGUGUUCAACUCCAGGGAGCACUCGGCGACGUUCCUUGCAAAACCCUUCUGGAACAGAGACGACAUUACUUCAGGCGAAGAGGAGACAAUUUUCAUCCGAAAGGGAAACUGUCCAGUGCGCGUGCGCGGACGAGAGAUAGAUGAAGACGAGGCCAAGACUGGUUCUUAUUCUCAGUCGCUGCGCAACGGCAGUGAGAAGGACAGCAGCGAGAAGAAACAUGGCGGCGGGGGUGCGCAGCGGAAGCUGAAGGGGUCUAAACGAAAGAGGAAGCAAGAGAAGAGGAAAAGGUUCCGAAAGAAGAAGAAAAAGUCUUAAACAAGGUGAGCCCCCGUCACGCUAUCGCUGCUCAGUUGCCCAACAGAACGAGUCCCUCGGCCACUGAAUGAGCCACUUCCUCCACACGAGGACCAAAAGACCAGAGAAAGGUCUCACUGGGAGGGUUGUCGUCUUCUACACAACAAUUUCUCGGCUGCCGGACGCACACAGGGAACUGAACGACGAACAAAAUAGCUUCUUUCAUCCUGUGGAGGAGUUGGGGCAACACGAGUUUCGUUGGCGGCGUUGAUGACGACUUCUCUUCAUUCUUGAGGAGAGGAAAGUCUACAAGGUUUUCGAACUCAGCUGACUAGAAAAAU
This is a long non-coding RNA of Pomacea canaliculata, 1742 nucleotides long. RefSeq lists it as uncharacterized. The transcript is spliced from 4 exons. Lineage: Eukaryota; Metazoa; Mollusca; Gastropoda; Architaenioglossa; Ampullariidae. The record is from RefSeq and is a predicted model, not a curated record.